This 756-nucleotide ribosomal RNA is filed under the name uncultured bacterium. RNAcentral describes it as "bacterial SSU rRNA". It matches the Rfam family "Bacterial small subunit ribosomal RNA", at positions 195 to 943 of the family's 1533-position model. The record is from RNAcentral.
CAUUGACUAAAGCUCCGGCGCUCUGGGAGGGGCCUGCGUCCCAUCAGCUAGUUGGUGAGGUAAUGGCUCACCAAGGCAAAGACGGGUAGGGGGCGUGAGAGCGUGGGCCCCCACACUGGUACUGACACACGGACCAGAUACCUACGGGUAGCAGCAGCAAGGAAUAUUGGCGCAAUGGACGAAAGUCUGACGCAGCAACGCCGCGUGGAGGAAGAAGGCCUUCGGUUGUAAACUCCUUUUCUGGGGGAAGAGAAAGGACGGUACCCCAGGAAUAAGGCCCGGCUAACUACGUGCCAGCAGCCGCGGUAAAACGUAGGGGUCAAGCGUUAUCCGGAUUUACUGGGCGUAAAGCGCGUGUAGGCGGCUGCUUAAGUCGGACGUGAAAGCUCCUGGCUCAACUAGGAGAGGCCGUUCGAAACUAGGUAGCUUGAGGAUGGUAGAGGAGAGUGGAAUUCCCGGGUGUUAGUGGGUGAAAAUGCGUAGAUAUUCGGGAAGGAACACCCAGUUGGCGAAGGGCGGCUCUCUGGGCCCAGCCCUGACGCUCAGGAUGCGAAAAGGCUAGGGGGAGGAGAAACGGGAUUAGAAACCCCGGGUAUUUCCUAGCUGUAAAACGAUGUCAACUAGGCGUAGGGAGGGUUAUUGACCCCUUCUGUGCUGUAGCUAACGCGUUUAAGUUGGACCGCCUGGGGACUACGGCCGCAAGGCUAAAAACUCAAAGGAAUUGACGGGGGGCCCGCACAAGCAGCGGAGCGUGUG